CUGAAAAUUUUUAACUACGAGACAACAAUACCAUCCGAUUACAUUGAAAUUAAACACCACAUCUAAAGUAAUAUAGUUGCUUUACAUCAACAGUACACCAUCUAAUUAACACCUUUUUACCUUUAUCCUUGUCAUCUAGAUCUCGUUUCCCUUUGCAAAGAGUUAUGUUGAGGAAAAUCUCCAAAUAGUCAUUUUCAUAGACUAUAUUAGCAUAUUUAGAACACACUCGAUAGGUCACCAGUUGGAUCUUUGAGCUUAUAUGAUCCUGGACUAGUUUAUCUUCAAAUGGCAAAAAUCUCACCACUUGAAAUGUUGACAGUCACAAGUACAACAAUGGAACAUCCAUCCUUUGUUUGCACUAUUUUUUCAACUCCAUCCCUUUCACGAACCCCUCACCACAUUUUGGACAUCUUCCCUUCUUGAAGCAUACUGACAACGAGUGACCUGGCUGUUUGUAACUAUGGCAAAUACUUCUAUUCCAUUCGGCCAUUGAGCAAAAUUAACGCACAGUGCAAUUGAACAACACCAAUGCAUAAUUACAAUAAAAUUGUUUAAAUUAAGGUUUGCAUUGUUCAAUUUAUUCAUAAAACUAACACUUAGAGGCUGCAUUUGCUAAGUAUUUCCCUAUCUAAUCCAUUUCUACUUUAUAAAAUUUAACAUUUCACCAAAUUUUAUUAGGCCUAUAAAUGCGAUGCCCACUUCGUAAAUUUUGAUAUUUCACAAAAAUCGCAACAAAUGACUUCCAAACAUUUAAUCUUCUACAAAAUUAUCGGAGGCGAUCCACUAGUAUCAAAUAGCUUAUUUUUACAAAAAUAUUUUCUUUUGUUCUCCAUGGAUAAUCCCGAUAAAACGUAAGAACAAUAAUGAAUUGUUUACCAGAUUUUCUAGGAGCUUUAAUCGGAUCUAUGUUUCACCCCUAAUUUGGAGAAUUUAGAAGACCCACAUUGUCGAUCUGGAGAAUUCCACAGGCACAUGCCCCGAGUUGGAGAAUUCCAGAGACCCACCCCAUCAAUUUGGAGAAUUUCAGAUGGUAGUGAGAGAGUUAUACACAGUAGUGAAAGAGACAGCAGCGAGAGAGAUGGCAGUGAGAGAGAC
Molecule: long non-coding RNA, 1095 nt
Filed under: Olea europaea subsp. europaea
Lineage: Eukaryota; Viridiplantae; Streptophyta; Magnoliopsida; Lamiales; Oleaceae
Source: RNAcentral